AGUGAACGCUGGCGGUAGGCCUAACACAUGCAAGUCGAACGGUAGCACAGUAAGAGCUUGCUCUUACGGGUGGCGAGUGGCGGACGGGUGUGGAAUAUAUCGGAAUCUACUUUUUCGUGGGGGAUAAAGUAGGGAAACUUACGCUAAUACCGUAUACGACCUACGGGUGAAAGCAGGGGAUCUUCGGACCUUGCGAGAGUGAAUGAGCCGAUGUCGGAUUAGCUAGUUGGCGGGGUAAAGGCCCACCAAGGCGACGAUCCGUAGCUGGUCUGAGAGGAUGAUCAGCCACACUGGAACUGAGACACGGUCCAGACUCCUACGGGAGGCAGCAGUGGGGAAUAUUGGACAAUGGGCGCAAGCCUGAUCCAGCCAUACCGCGUGGGUGAAGAAGGCCUUCGGGUUGUAAAGCCCUUUUGUUGGGAAAGAAAAGCAGCAGGUUAAUACCCCGCUGUUCUGACGUUACCCAAAGAAUAAGCACCGGCUAACUUCGUG
This 492-nucleotide ribosomal RNA is filed under the name uncultured bacterium. RNAcentral describes it as "partial 16S ribosomal RNA". It matches the Rfam family "Bacterial small subunit ribosomal RNA", at positions 29 to 507 of the family's 1533-position model. The record is from RNAcentral.